GUUAAAAUGGGUGCCACGGUGCCACCGCCUGUCACCCAGCCCUUCAUCCGUUGACGCCACUUGUACUUAUCAAGUAUGCAUUUUUGGGAACUCCUGGCACAGUAAGAUCAAGCUGUUGUUUUCAUAUUUGAUGCACACUUCAAUGUUUAUAAAAGCUUUGAAUCAAUUUCUGGAAAUAAUAGUAAUGUUUAAGGGGUUUCUGAAAAAGAAUCAUGAUUCUUUUAUAAGCUAGUUUCAAGAUGAAAACCUACUCUGCUGAAUUUUGUAACAAGAUGCCAAGACUUUUGAGAACUUGUGAAGGAAAUGAAAACAUGUGGUGGUUCACUUGAAGCACAGCUGGUGAUUUAUUUUUUUUUUUAAUUUACUCUAGUAGUGUUGUUAAUUUAUUCU
RNAcentral lists this long non-coding RNA (390 nucleotides) under Apteryx rowi (Okarito brown kiwi). Its description in RNAcentral is "lncRNA (ENSARWG00000005405.1)". The record is from RNAcentral. Lineage: Eukaryota; Metazoa; Chordata; Aves; Apterygiformes; Apterygidae.